UACGUAGGUCCCGAGCGUUGUCCGGAUUUAUUGGGCGUAAAGCGAGCGCAGGUGGUUUAUUAAGUCUGGUGUAAAAGGCAGUGGCUCAACCAUUGUAUGCAUUGGAAACUGGUAGACUUGAGUGCAGGAGAGGAGAGUGGAAUUCCAUGUGUAGCGGUGAAAUGCGUAGAUAUAUGGAGGAACACCGGUAGCGAAAGCGACUCUCUGGCCUGUAACUGACACUGAGGCUCGAAAGCGUGGGGAGCAAACAGG
This 252-nucleotide ribosomal RNA is filed under the name uncultured bacterium. RNAcentral describes it as "partial 16S ribosomal RNA". It matches the Rfam family "Bacterial small subunit ribosomal RNA", at positions 524 to 776 of the family's 1533-position model. The record is from RNAcentral.